Non-coding RNA from Mugil cephalus (flathead mullet), 640 nucleotides. The record is from the annotation of a RefSeq genome assembly. Lineage: Eukaryota; Metazoa; Chordata; Actinopteri; Mugiliformes; Mugilidae.
UUAUCAGCUGACAAAAUGAUCCAAACAGUGAAUGACUGAGUUGAUUUUGUUUGUUUCAAAGUCAGAGAGCCGUGUCUCUCUCCAGUCAGAGGUUUUUGUACGGCGGCUCAAUGAGUUUGUAUCACUGUGGUACACGUUCGGUGGAGGAACCAGACUGGAAGUUGGAAGUGAUGCCCCCCCCACCCUGACGGUGCUGCCUCCCUCCGUGGAUGAGCUGGAGCAGGGGAAGGCCACCGUUACGUGCCUGGCCAACAAGGGCUUCCCCUCAGACUGGAUUCUGUCCUGGAAGCUGCAGGGCAGCAGCACCCUCAAGUGGGAGGAGAGCAGGAGCCCCGGGGUGCUGCAGAAGGACGGCCACUACAGCUGGAGCAGCAACCUGAGGCUCCCUGCAGACCAGUGGAGCAAGGUGGUCUCUGUGAGCUGUGAGGCCAGCCAGAGCUCCCAGACUCAAAGAGUCUCAGAGACACUGAGGAGAGACCAGUGUUCCCAGUCCUGACCUGACUCACUGGGACUCUCAGACUGCUUCCACUGUCUCUCUGCUUUUUCUCUCUUUCUUCUAAUCUCUUUCUUCACUUGUUCAUUGCUUGAUGUAAUCCUGUAAGUGCAUACGUUUCCAAACAAUAAAAACAUAUCAAACUUC